UACGGAGGGGGUUAGCGUUGUUCGGAAUGACUGGGCUUAAAGCGCGCGUAGGCGGAUCGCAAAGUUGGGUGUGAAAGCCCGGUGCUCAACCCUUGAAUGGCCUUCGAGACUCGCGGUCUGGAGUUCGAGAGAGGUGGGUGGAAUUCCGAGUGUAGAGGUGAAAUUCGUAGAUAUUCGGAGGAACACCAGUGGCGAAGGCGGCCAACUGGCUCGACACUGACGCUGAGGCGCGAAAGCGCGGGUAGCAAACAGG
Molecule: ribosomal RNA, 253 nt
Filed under: uncultured bacterium
Lineage: Bacteria
Description: partial 16S ribosomal RNA
Rfam family: Bacterial small subunit ribosomal RNA
Source: RNAcentral